ACUGGACACAGUGGUGCACACCUGUAGUUCCAGCUACUUGGGAGGCAGAGACAGGAGAUUGCUUGAGUCCAGAAGUUCUGCGCUGUAGUCUGCUAUGCCGAUUGGUUGUCCACACUAAGUUAGGCAUCAAUAUGGUGACCUCCUGGGAGCAGAGGACCUUCAGGUUGCCUAAGGAGCGGUGAUCUGGUCAAGGUCAGCAACAGAACAGGCCAAAACUCCCAUGCUGAUCAAAGAAAAAAGGCAGGAUUUUCUUAUUUUUAAAGGUGGCCCUAUGAGUCAGCACUUAAAAUUAGGACUGAU
This 300-nucleotide signal recognition particle RNA is filed under the name Mesocricetus auratus (golden hamster). RNAcentral's name for it is "Metazoan signal recognition particle RNA (ENSMAUG00000005076.1)". It matches the Rfam family "Metazoan signal recognition particle RNA". From Rfam's summary of the family: The signal recognition particle (SRP) is a universally conserved ribonucleoprotein. It is involved in the co-translational targeting of proteins to membranes. The record is from Rfam by way of RNAcentral. Lineage: Eukaryota; Metazoa; Chordata; Mammalia; Rodentia; Cricetidae.